This 402-nucleotide ribosomal RNA is filed under the name Actinomycetes bacterium. RNAcentral's name for it is "Actinobacteria bacterium partial 16S ribosomal RNA". It matches the Rfam family "Bacterial small subunit ribosomal RNA", at positions 355 to 776 of the family's 1533-position model. Lineage: Bacteria; Bacillati; Actinomycetota; Actinomycetes. The record is from RNAcentral.
UGGGGAAUAUUGGACAAUGGGCGCAAGCCUGAUCCAGCCAUGCCGCGUGAGUGAUGAAGGCCCUAGGGUUGUAAAGCUCUUUCACCGGUGAAGAUAAUGACGGUAACCGGAGAAGAAGCCCCGGCUAACUUCGUGCCAGCAGCCGCGGUAAUACGAAGGGGGCUAGCGUUGUUCGGAUUUACUGGGCGUAAAGCGCACGUAGGCGGACUUUUAAGUCAGGGGUGAAAUCCCGGGGCUCAACCCCGGAACUGCCUUUGAUACUGGAAGUCUUGAGUAUGGUAGGUGAGUGGAAUUCCGAGUGUAGAGGUGAAAUUCGUAGAUAUUCGGAGGAACACCAGUGGCGAAGGCGGCUCACUGGACCAUUACUGACGCUGAGGUGCGAAAGCGUGGGGAGCAAACAGG